CUUCCUAUGACCCAAAAAUAUACCUGCAACUCCAAGUAUAUAUAAUUAAUCCAGAGAAAUGACAGAAAUUAGGAAGGUUAAAUUGAUCAUUAGGUUAGCCCACAACUAUUUACACUUCAAAAAUUAAUGUUUAUGCUAAAAGAAAAUGGACAAUCACGCAAAAACAUCAUUGGAUCAAACAGAAUUUGUUUGAUUGCCCUGGCUUCAUAGAUGCCUGGAUUUAGGUGUCAAACCAACCAUGCAAAAAGAUUCUGUUCUAACUGGACAGGUUGGCUGUAAUCCUAGAAACAUAAUUGUAAAUCAAAGACUGCUGCCUAAUAGGUGCAAUAGUGAAUAUAAAUCCUUACCCAUUU
RNAcentral lists this unclassified non-coding RNA (353 nucleotides) under Hevea brasiliensis (rubber tree). Lineage: Eukaryota; Viridiplantae; Streptophyta; Magnoliopsida; Malpighiales; Euphorbiaceae. The record is from RNAcentral.